Molecule: ribosomal RNA, 327 nt
Filed under: Sandonidae sp.
Lineage: Eukaryota; Cercozoa; Glissomonadida; Sandonidae
Description: SSU rRNA
Rfam family: Eukaryotic small subunit ribosomal RNA (bases 62-327)
Source: RNAcentral
GAUUUCUGGCUUGAAACAUUUUGCCGGCCACGGUUUCGUGUGUUAGUGCUUGAUGUUCUGGCCAUCCUUCCAAUGGCUGCGCAUCUCUCUUCAUUGAGUGGGUGCGUGGUAUUGGAUCUUUUACUUUGAAAAAAUUAGAGUGUUUCAAGCAGGCAUGUUUUGCUAUGAAUACAUUAGCAUGGAAUAAUAAUCUAGGACUUUCGGUUCUAUUUUGUUGGUGUUCUGGAGCUGAAGUAAUGAUUGAUAGGGAUAGUUGGGGGUGCUAGUAUUCAAUGGCCAGAGGUGAAAUUCUCGGAUUCCUUGAAGACUAACUUAUGCGAAAGCAUU